AUGUUGGGAGCUGGAAAUGUCUACUUUUUCCCAUUUCAACCCCCCAAACUAACCCCUGCUUUUCUCUUGCUGCUGCUGCUGCUGCUAGUGGUGGUGGCUGCUGCUGCUGUUGUUGUUGUUGUUGUUUUCCAGACCUGCAUAAUGAACUCUGGAAGAAAAGUGAGGGAACUCAAAAAAAUAAGAAAACUGAAACAAGGUCGCAAACCACAUGAUCUACAGGGGAGCCACCACUGCCUCCUGAAGAACCCCAGUCAGGAAUCCCAGAUUAAUUUCCCCAGCAUCCUGUUUGGAAACCACAUGUCCGCCCUGCAACUGUACCUGGCUUGUGUCCCACAAGGAGAAAGAUGCAGGGGCCUCCAGAAGCUAAAGAGGAUCUUCCAAAAGAAUUGGUGAACCAAGGUGUUAAACAGCCAGAUCCAUUCGGCUCCUGAGCUCUGGAGGGCUAGGACGCAGGGUAAAAGGACCCAGGGUCCCAGCACCUUUUACCAGCUUUCCUAGCCUGGCCCUUGAGACCCUGUUUGACAGGUUCCUGUCCACUGACCAGCCCAUCUCAAGUCAUCCUUGUGCCCUACCUUCAGUGCCUCUGGAUAAUCCCUCUGUGCCCUACCUUCAGUGCCUCCAAGCUCUGUCUCACCCACCUUGUGUCCUCUUGCCUGGGGAUCAACCCCUUCCUUUCCCCAGCUAACCCCUACUUCACCUAGCACAUUUCCAUGUGAAUUUCAAAGGCUAAGUGCAAGGAUUACAUUCCUCUGAACUGGUUGAGAUCUUUCAGGAUUCCUAUCCAUCCCCCAGUGUCCUGCCUAUUUAUCUCAAUUUAUGACACCCACACUUUCCCAAUAAUCCUGUUGUCUUUCUUGGUGUGGUUGUUGCUCCCUAUAAAUUGUCAUUAAAGAGGUUGGAUAGGAAUGAGCCUGCAGCCCACUACUAGAGACUUCUCUUCUAGAGGUCGACAUCGAUCCACCCAUCUUCAUGCUAAUGGCGGAAGGAUUAGAUGGUUUUCUAGUUAUUGAUUACUAUGGAACAAAUGACUUCAGACAUGCUGAUGAAAAAUGCCAACCAUUUUCUUCUGCUCACGGAUUCCUGAGUCAAGAAUCUGGACAGAGCACAGCUGGGAUGCCUCUUCGUUGGUUCAUGUUCAGGGCUUCUGCUGGGAAAAGUAGACAACAGGGGUGAGAGAAUGAACUGAGUGGUUAGGGGCUGGAAUUAUCUAGAGGCUUCUUCAUUCCAUGUCUGGUACCUACAUUGGAAGGACUCAAAGACUGAGCUGAGCGGGGACUGUCACGUGUUGAAUGACAUGUGUCCUCUCCACAUGGCUUGAGUUUCUCAAAGCAUGGCAGCUGGGUCACAAGAGUGAGUAUUCCAGGAGAACCAGACAGAAGCUGUGGGGUCUUUUAUGGCCAGGCUUCAGAAGUCAAAAAACAUUACUUUCUCCAUACCCUACUGAUCAAAGCAGUCACAAGACUGUCCUGAUUCAAGAGGAGGAGCAUAGGUCCCACUGCUGGAUGGGAGGAAUGUCUAACAAUUCUGUAACAGCCACAGCAGCACUGGAAGCCUACACCCAGAUGCAGAAUGACUUGGGAGUCCCUUUGAGUCAGGGCAUAGGCACUACCUGACAGGCUACUCAAUGGUGAUAAGUCAUCAAGAAUAAGCAGUGCUGAGAGGCCUCUGACAUUCCUGCAGAGAGGCUGGGGUAUAGGCCAGACUACCACGAUAAGGAUUGUCUAACAGAAUGAAGCCUCAAAGUGGAUACUCGGUCUCCUGAAAAAGGCAGAACCCCUAUUAUCACAACUGGAGCAUUCAGGAUGUCAGACCAGCAGUGUGUGACAUGAUGCCAUCACACAGGUUAGCUGAGCACCUUCAAUCCCUCCUCCUGUGAUCACAUGAGACCUUGUCAAAUGCCCAUGCUGAUAUUAAGAAAUACUAUAUAACAUAUUCCUGAUCCAACAAUUCAGUCAUUGCCUUUCAAAUGUGCAGAUUUUUUUGUUCGUUUGUUUGUUUUGUUUUUUUCUGAGUUUCAUGCUUGUUGCCCAGGCUGGAGCGCAACGGCGCGAUCUUGGCUCAUAGCAACCUCCGCCUCCCAUGUUCAAGUGAUUCUCCUGCCCCAGCCUCCCAAGUAGCUGGGAUUACAGGCAUGCACGACCACGCCCAGCUAAUUUUGUAUUUUUCUUAGAGAAGGGGUUUCUCCAUGUUGGUCAGACUGGUCUCAAACUCCUGACCUCAGGUGAUUUGCCCACCUCAGCCUCCCAAAGUGCUGGGAUUACAGGCAUGAGCCACCACGCCUGGCCUCAAAUAUGCAUCAUUAAUCAUCUCGACAGAUAUAUUUCCAGUGAUCAAUGUGGAUCUCACCAAACUGGGAAAGGAUUAGGAAGUAUACACAUCAAGAGGGAAACAGGAGAAAGCAAAUGGAGGCAGUCAUUAGAAUUAUUCCUGAGUUCCUCUAGAGAUGGUAGAAGGGAAGGGGGAUUCCAGGGCCAAGUGGUUCUAGGUGGUCUCAGCCUACCAGCUUUCAGCUCUUCAUUAGUGUCCCUUCAAGGCAAGACCCAUCUCUUUCAGAGAGCAAACAUUUACACUGGUCUAGGGUCACUGGAGGCCAUUUUACCUUGGAAGUAUCUGGGAGUUGGGAGUUGAUGAAGGGGCAGUACAGAACAAAUAGCUCAGAGAUGGUCUGGGAAAGAAUGAAGAAAGUAAAAUUGAUAUUUGUGGUGAGGGGUACAGCUUUUCCUGUGGAAGCAGGGCACUGUCACUGCUGUGAGUCAUCAAUUUCUGGGUCUCUGGCUCAGACAAUCUUAGAAGGCCAGAGCUGGGGGGUGCCUGUUCCAAGGUCCUCUAGUCCAACCCUCGCAUUUGAGAGAUGUGGAAACUGUUGCAGAGUCCAUUUGUGCCCACUGAAUAUCCAUGUGCUUCCCUGAAUUUUCCAGCCUUCCUUGCAGUUAGGUGAUUAAUUAUAGCCAAUGACACAUGUCAUCUCCAGGCCCAAACACUGAAGACAGGGUGUGCCUCCUCCAUCCCUCUUAUCCCCUGCCACUGUGACCAGACAGUCCUUGUACCCUAGAUGGCACACUUACAAGAUGGAGGAGGAUCUGCCCAUCCUCAUCAGAGCAGGAAAUACAAAGCUUCAUUCUGUGAAGCCACUGAAAACUGGGGGCUUAUUUGUCACUGCAGCAUGGCCUGGCUUAGCCUGACUACUAUGGAAAUUGAGGCAUAGAGAGGGGAAGUAUGGAUAUGAGUAGCCCUGAUAAUGUAUGUCAGAUCCCUGCUCAUUCAGGAAAGCAGAUCAAAACAGGUAACAUGGUAGGAUUUUCUGCUCUAGGGUGAUGAUCAUGCAGCAUUGAUCCUCUUGCUGUCAUGCUUUAUAAUUUACAAAAUCUAUUCAUGCCCAGAGUCAUACAGUGAAGGGAUAAGGGAGUCAAAACUAAAAUCCAGGGCUUCCCCCACUCACGGCCUGAUUGCCUAUGCUUUUAGAAUACUGAUAUCUUUUUAAAGGGUUAUAACUCUCUUUUAUCCUCCCCUCUCCAAAAAACAAAAACAAAAACAAAAAAAUCUGAUUGGCAUAUGCUUCUUUUUUCCCACAGGUUUAUUUCCAUAGAAUAUUUAUUUCAAUAUUUAAAUUUUGUCUUGAGAAGGCUCCAAUAGCCUGGAGAUCAUUGGAGGUACCCAAGGAGUCACAGGUACCAGGGCUGGGAAACUCCUCCCUCAUGGGGGAGAUCCCUGGCUGAGAGAAUCCCCUUGGUUGGUCCCCACAGAGGUACAGCACCCAUCGUCCCACUCAGACCAGCAAAUGAAGAAGUUGGAUGAGACCACAUCAAAGCAAGAUUUCUUCAAAAAAUCCAAAUCAGAUCCAGGUUCCUCUUCUUCAGACCACAUAGAGUGGGUGAAGGGUGCCUUCUGACUGCUUCCUCUUUCAACAAAAAGGGGAAUGGCUGUAGGCCUGAGGGUGGCCAUUUACGUCUGAGAGAAGGUGACAAGUUAAAGGCCAGGGUUGGGGACUCAGGCUCUCUGGAGCUCUGUGAUGUCCAAAUUGCAGCCUCUAUCACCGGGAACCCCAGCUCUCCUGAGAGGCCCAACCCCUCUGUAGCCCCCACCCUGGCUGCCCAGCCAGGCCCACCUGAUCUGAGAUGUCGCCUCUGACCUUCAUCUGCCCUCCCCUCCCUGUCAACAGCCAGAUGGGGAACCCACCCCUCAGGUCCCAUUUCCCCUCUGGCUCCUUCCUCCUGGGGCCUUCAUGGUCUGACUUCCAUCUUUACCUUGAUUCUAAAACUAUUCCAACCAAGGAUAUCACUGAAAUGCUAUUGCCCAAACAGAAAGACCUUAAGUUCAGGCCCCAUCACUUACAAGUUUGUAGCCUUCGUUCGGCAAGUUAUUUUCCUACUCUGGUCUCAGUUUUCUCACCUGUAAAACAAGAAUGAUAAUAACAGGACCUACCUCAUAGGGUUAUUGUAAGGACUAAAUGAGGUAAUGGGAGUAAAGCACUUAGUAAAAUGCCUGCUUCACAUAGUCUAUCAUGCGAUGAAUAUAAGUUAACAAUCCUUCAUCCAAAAUCCCUGGGGCCAGAAGCCGGCAUUUUUCCUUAUUUUAGGAGGUAAUAUGGUGCCUAGGCUGUCUUUAGUGUAUGUCCCCCAGUGGGUGCCAAGGCAGGGCCUCACAAUCAGACACAUUCAUGAUGCUGCAGUGACCAUGUCAACUUUCACUUGG
Long non-coding RNA from Macaca mulatta (Rhesus monkey), 4692 nucleotides. The record is from Ensembl. NCBI's taxonomy places the organism in Eukaryota, Metazoa, Chordata, Mammalia, Primates, Cercopithecidae.